ACAGUGGCUUUAGAGACCGGAGCUCCAUAUGUUUCUCUCCGGUGCCUUGAGCACCGUGUAC
Molecule: microRNA precursor, 61 nt
Filed under: Oreochromis niloticus (Nile tilapia)
Lineage: Eukaryota; Metazoa; Chordata; Actinopteri; Cichliformes; Cichlidae
Description: microRNA oni-mir-10933 precursor
Source: miRBase by way of RNAcentral